UGUGUCCCGUAUGCCCCUGCACGCGGAGGUGCAGACGGAAGGGAAGCCUUAGUACGUUGUCGUAGACAACAAUUGGUGACCCCGAUGUGAUAAGAUGGAGCGCGGAGAGGCGCUUGGAGCGCAGGGGUGCUCGAGAAGGAGCGCGGAGGGGCGCUUGGAGCGCAGGGGCGCUCGAGGGGGAGCACGGAGAGGUGCUCGGAGCGCAGGGGCGCUCGACAGUGUACUCCAGUAUGUCUUCGUCGCUGGAGAGGAUGCUCUGAGUGCCUAGUUUGCUUGUCUCUGCCUCUGAGACAAGCCAUCCUGGAGUGGACGCAUAAAACCUUGAAGGCGUGGCUCCGAGCCUUAAAAGAGGGGGGAGAGCUGACGAGUCCAGAACUGUGUCCCCAUGCCUUGAUUCUUCAAUUCAUCGGGACUACAUGAACACCUCCUUCCUCUUGGCUGGUGUCCCUCGUCUCCGCAAGUCUACGGAUACUACUUCUUGUCAGAAAAGGACUGCUCUUACUAUCUACUAUAUUUCGGCUGCUGCAACGGCUCAUCGAGAACAUUGUUUCAAAAACAGUACAGGUUGACCUGCUGAUAUCUAAUUAUCAGCGCUUAUGUCAAGAUCUGCUUGAAGAAGGGCCAA
Long non-coding RNA from Numida meleagris (helmeted guineafowl), 625 nucleotides. RefSeq lists it as uncharacterized. The record is from RefSeq and is a predicted model, not a curated record. Lineage: Eukaryota; Metazoa; Chordata; Aves; Galliformes; Numididae. The transcript has 2 exons.